Molecule: long non-coding RNA, 978 nt
Filed under: Capsella rubella
Lineage: Eukaryota; Viridiplantae; Streptophyta; Magnoliopsida; Brassicales; Brassicaceae
Description: long non-coding RNA (CRUB_LNC004167)
Source: RNAcentral
CGCUGGGAACUACGUCAUAACGCAACGGCAAACGCAUCGUUCUGCGGUAAACAUUUUGAAAUGCCAGUUAAAAUCAGCAGUGGCGAUUAAAAUGUUGCGUUCAAUUAGGAAAUUGACAAAAACACCAUUGUUUUGUUCAAUGUUUUACAAAAGAAUCUAAAUCUAAUUUGGACAUAACACAAAGUGGAGAAGAAGAAGAACGAAGCGGCGAAGAAGAGAAGAAAAAAAUCCAGAUUCGAUUUCUCUGCUUCUCUACUCUCAUCUCUGUUAUUUUGGUAAGCUAUUAUUCUCCAUAUUCUUUUAUAAUUAUCUCAAUCUAUGUUUUAGCAUGGAUUGUGAUUAGUUGAUUGUGUUGUUUUGAUGGAUUUGAGAUUAGUUGAUUGUAUUGCUUGUGUGGCUACAAACCUCGGAUUUUAUAUAUGAAAUAUGUUCUGAACACUAGACAACAAGAUCUUUCCUUUGAUGUAAAGAUAGACUUUUGGUUCCAUUUGGUUUGAUAGGAAAUUUCUUUCAACUUUGAUUGUUUGUGGGAUUGUAUAUGGUUAUUUUCUUCAGCUAAAAUAUAUUCUCGGAAUUUCUUCAAGCAGGAUUGGACCGGACUCUGACAUACGGGCCUUUUAAGCCAUUUUUGGGUUAUGUUGUAGGUUACAAAUUAUUACUCUAGCCAUGUGGUUCGUAUCAACUCUUCCUCCAAACUGAUUAAGUAUAUCUUAUAGACAUUUUACAAAUGUUGGAAGGGAUACCUUAGUUUGGCUCAUUAUUGGUAUCCUCCUAUCUUGGUUCGUUAUGCUCAUUGCGUGUAAUACAAAGUUUUUUGUUUGGUCAUUUGGUUAACCAAAUGCUAUGUAGCUAGGUAUGUAUAUAUAUACCAAAAAAGCUAGUUGAAAUGUGAUUUGUAUUUGGUAGCCAACGAUUAAGGUUAUAGAAAGCUAUUGGCUGCAACCACGAGUGAUGAAAGAGUUUGUCGUACAAGUGUAA